UCCGGGUGUCGGAGGAGAGAGGAGCUUGUUCAGCCCAGUCUGGAGUGGCAUGCUCUUCUUGGUUCAGCCCAAAGACACAGGCUUCUAAAGUAGGAGCCGUCCCGUGUCAUUAUCACAGGGAGAAGAGGGCACCUAUCAGAACCAGGGGUCUGGGAAGCGAGGACAGAGGUUAACAGGAAGGCAGCCUUUCUCCAGGCUCGUGGAUCUUGUUGAGACAGGGUCUGAUGGAAGGAGCAAAGGCCAUGUUCUCUCCGCAGUCAUUUUCUCUGCCUGCACCUUCCCUGCAGAAUGUUUGGUGAACAGGUAUCACAGCUAUGAGAAAGCUUGUACUCCACGAUUCAGACUGCUGCUUGAUAACGCCCUAGUGGUCCCCGAGCUUGGUACCCCCAGGGACACAUGUGGAUAUUCAUUAUGAAUUUAACCAGCAGUUUCCAUUUUUAAUAGUGUUACUUUCAUUUCUAUAGUUAAAACAAAGCAUAAGAAGGGAG
Molecule: long non-coding RNA, 488 nt
Filed under: Monodelphis domestica (gray short-tailed opossum)
Lineage: Eukaryota; Metazoa; Chordata; Mammalia; Didelphimorphia; Didelphidae
Description: lncRNA (ENSMODG00000038231.1)
Source: RNAcentral